Molecule: long non-coding RNA, 513 nt
Filed under: Mytilus galloprovincialis (Mediterranean mussel)
Lineage: Eukaryota; Metazoa; Mollusca; Bivalvia; Mytilida; Mytilidae
Source: RNAcentral
AGCAAAGCCCAAACCGCAUAGUCAGCAAUAAAAGGCCCUGAAAUGACAAUGUAAAACAAUUCAAACGAGAAAACCAAUAGCCUUAUUUAUGUAUAUAGUUGAUUUCCCAAAUGAAUAUGGGUCUUACAUUAUAAACUUAUGGUUUACUUUUACAAAUUGUGACUUUAAUGGAGAAAUGUCUCAUUGACACUAAUACCACAUCUUCUUAUAUCUACUUUAAUGGAAACAAAGAAAAGAUAAAUGACCAAGCCUAAAGCACAAUUAUCUGUGUAAAAGGAAACUCAGUGGCAAACUCACAGGCUUUGAUUAAAUAUUUCUCAUAUUUUGGCAAAAAAUAUUUAACAAACCCAUGUCAUUUGCAUCAAUGGUCAGAUAAUUUGCUUAGAUAUUGAUGUAAAGUUCAAAGUUUUAACUAGUAUUAAGGUCUUCUUACGCGUGUUCAGCACAUUAAAUCUUAAUGACAUUUUCAAAUUUUAGGCAUUCACAUCAUUAAACCCCAGCUACCCCCUGCCA